Long non-coding RNA from Pygocentrus nattereri (red-bellied piranha), 1304 nucleotides. The record is from Ensembl. NCBI's taxonomy places the organism in Eukaryota, Metazoa, Chordata, Actinopteri, Characiformes, Serrasalmidae.
CACUACACUACACACUACACACUACACUACACUACACACUACACUACACACUACACACUACACUACACACUACACUACACACUACACUACACUACACACUACACUACACACUACACUACACACUACACACUACACUACACUACACAACACACUACACACUACACACUACACACUACACUACACUACACACUACACUACACUACACACUGGACUACACUACACAACACACUACACACUACACACUACACUACACUACACACUACACUACACUACACACUACACUACACUACACACUGGACUACACACUACACACUACACACUGGACUACACUACACACUACACUACACACUGGACUACACACUACACACUACACUACACACUACACUACACACUACACUACACUACACACUACACACUACACUACACUACACACUACACUACACUAUACACUACACUACACACUACACACUACACUACACACUACACUACACACUACACACUACACACUACACUACACACUACACACUACACUACACACUACACACUACACACUACACUACACUACACACUACACACUACACUACACUACACACUACACUACACUAUACACUACACUACACACUACACACUACACUACACACUACACUACACACUACACACUACACACUACACACUACACUACACACUACACACUACACUACACUACACACUACACUACACUACACACUACACACUACACUACACACUACACACUACACUACACUACACACUACACUACACACUACACACUACACUACACACUACACUACACACUACACUACACUACACACUACACUACACACUACACUACACACUACACACUACACUACACUACACAACACACUACACACUACACACUACACACUACACUACACUACACACUACACUACACUACACACUGGACUACACUACACAACACACUACACACUACACACUACACUACACUACACACUACACUACACUACACACUGGACUACACUACACACUACACACUGGACUACACUACACACUACACUACACACUGGACUACACACUACACACUACACUACACACUACACUACACACUACACUACACUACACACUACACACUACACUACACUACACACUACACUACACUAUACACUACACUACACACUACACACUACACUACACACUACACUACACACUACACACUACACACUACACACUACACUACACACUACACACUACACUACACACUACACACUACACUACACACUACACUACACACUACACUACACUACACA